This 2066-nucleotide ribosomal RNA is filed under the name Salmonella enterica subsp. enterica serovar Glostrup. RNAcentral describes it as "partial 23S ribosomal RNA". It matches the Rfam family "Bacterial large subunit ribosomal RNA", at positions 890 to 2925 of the family's 2925-position model. Lineage: Bacteria; Pseudomonadati; Pseudomonadota; Gammaproteobacteria; Enterobacterales; Enterobacteriaceae. The record is from RNAcentral.
UCAUCUCCGGGGGUAGAGCACUGUUUCGGCUAGGGGGCCAUCCCGGCUUACCAACCCGAUGCAAACUGCGAAUACCGGAGAAUGUUAUCACGGGAGACACACGGCGGGUGCUAACGUCCGUCGUGAAGAGGGAAACAACCCAGACCGCCAGCUAAGGUCCCAAAGUCAUGGUUAAGUGGGAAACGAUGUGGGAAGGCCCAGACAGCCAGGAUGUUGGCUUAGAAGCAGCCAUCAUUUAAAGAAAGCGUAAUAGCUCACUGGUCGAGUCGGCCUGCGCGGAAGAUGUAACGGGGCUAAACCAUGCACCGAAGCUGCGGCAGCGACACUGUGUGUUGUUGGGUAGGGGAGCGUUCUGUAAGCCUGCGAAGGUGGCCUGUGAGGGUUGCUGGAGGUAUCAGAAGUGCGAAUGCUGACAUAAGUAACGAUAAAGCGGGUGAAAAGCCCGCUCGCCGGAAGACCAAGGGUUCCUGUCCAACGUUAAUCGGGGCAGGGUGAGUCGACCCCUAAGGCGAGGCCGAAAGGCGUAGUCGAUGGGAAACGGGUUAAUAUUCCCGUACUUGGUGUUACUGCGAAGGGGGGACGGAGAAGGCUAUGUUGGCCGGGCGACGGUUGUCCCGGUUUAAGCGUGUAGGCUGGUUUUCCAGGCAAAUCCGGAAAAUCAAGGCUGAGGCGUGACGACGAGGCACUACGGUGCUGAAGCAACAAAUGCCCUGCUUCCAGGAAAAGCCUCUAAGCAUCAGGUAACAUCAAAUCGUACCCCAAACCGACACAGGUGGUCAGGUAGAGAAUACCAAGGCGCUUGAGAGAACUCGGGUGAAGGAACUAGGCAAAAUGGUGCCGUAACUUCGGGAGAAGGCACGCUGACAUGUAGGUGAAGUGAUUUACUCAUGGAGCUGAAGUCAGUCGAAGAUACCAGCUGGCUGCAACUGUUUAUUAAAAACACAGCACUGUGCAAACACGAAAGUGGACGUAUACGGUGUGACGCCUGCCCGGUGCCGGAAGGUUAAUUGAUGGGGUCAGCGCAAGCGAAGCUCCUGAUCGAAGCCCCGGUAAACGGCGGCCGUAACUAUAACGGUCCUAAGGUAGCGAAAUUCCUUGUCGGGUAAGUUCCGACCUGCACGAAUGGCGUAAUGAUGGCCAGGCUGUCUCCACCCGAGACUCAGUGAAAUUGAACUCGCUGUGAAGAUGCAGUGUACCCGCGGCAAGACGGAAAGACCCCGUGAACCUUUACUAUAGCUUGACACUGAACAUUGAGCCUUGAUGUGUAGGAUAGGUGGGAGGCUUUGAAGUGUGGACGCCAGUCUGCAUGGAGCCGGCCUUGAAAUACCACCCUUUAAUGUUUGAUGUUCUAACGUGGACCCGUAAUCCGGGUUGCGGACAGUGUCUGGUGGGUAGUUUGACUGGGGCGGUCUCCUCCUAAAGAGUAACGGAGGAGCACGAAGGUUGGCUAAUCCUGGUCGGACAUCAGGAGGUUAGUGCAAUGGCAUAAGCCAGCUUGACUGCGAGCGUGACGGCGCGAGCAGGUGCGAAAGCAGGUCAUAGUGAUCCGGUGGUUCUGAAUGGAAGGGCCAUCGCUCAACGGAUAAAAGGUACUCCGGGGAUAACAGGCUGAUACCGCCCAAGAGUUCAUAUCGACGGCGGUGUUUGGCACCUCGAUGUCGGCUCAUCACAUCCUGGGGCUGAAGUAGGUCCCAAGGGUAUGGCUGUUCGCCAUUUAAAGUGGUACGCGAGCUGGGUUUAGAACGUCGUGAGACAGUUCGGUCCCUAUCUGCCGUGGGCGCUGGAGAACUGAGGGGGGCUGCUCCUAGUACGAGAGGACCGGAGUGGACGCAUCACUGGUGUUCGGGUUGUCAUGCCAAUGGCACUGCCCGGUAGCUAAAUGCGGAAGAGAUAAGUGCUGAAAGCAUCUAAGCACGAAACUUGCCCCGAGAUGAGUUCUCCCUGAGACUUAGAGUCUCCUGAAGGAACGUUGAAGACGACGACGUUGAUAGGCCGGGUGUGUAAGCGCAGCGAUGCGUUGAGCUAACCGGUACUAAUGAACCGUGAGGCUUAACCUUACAACGCCG